UAUGGAGUUGCUUAGUGUUAGAGCGAUUAUCUAUCACAUAUGAGACCCUGGGUUCAAAUCCCAGUACAAAA
RNAcentral lists this transfer RNA (71 nucleotides) under Marmota monax (woodchuck). RNAcentral's name for it is "tRNA.Asp". The stretch from base 10 to 64 matches the Rfam family "tRNA", at positions 10 to 63 of the family's 71-position model. Rfam says of the family: Transfer RNA (tRNA) molecules are approximately 80 nucleotides in length. Their secondary structure includes four short double-helical elements and three loops (D, anti-codon, and T loops). The record is from RNAcentral. Lineage: Eukaryota; Metazoa; Chordata; Mammalia; Rodentia; Sciuridae.